GUGCUCGCUUCAGGAGCACAAGUACUAAAAUUGGAACCAUACAGAGAAGACUAGCAUGGCCCCUGCAUGAGGAUGACACACAAAUUUGUGAAGUGUUCCAUAUUCUU
Octodon degus (degu) is the source of this 107-nucleotide small nuclear RNA. Lineage: Eukaryota; Metazoa; Chordata; Mammalia; Rodentia; Octodontidae. The record is from Ensembl.